This 253-nucleotide ribosomal RNA is filed under the name uncultured bacterium. Its description in RNAcentral is "partial 16S ribosomal RNA". It matches the Rfam family "Bacterial small subunit ribosomal RNA", at positions 524 to 776 of the family's 1533-position model. The record is from RNAcentral.
CACGGGGGGGGCAAGCGUUGUUCGGAAUUACUGGGCGUAAAGGGCUCGUAGGCGGCCAACUAAGUCGGAUGUGAAAUCCCCAGGCUUAACCUGGGAACUGCAUCCGAUACUGGAUGGCUUGAAUCCGGGAGAGGGAUGCAGAAUUCCAGGUGUAGCGGUGAAAUGCGUAGAUAUCUGGAGGAAUACCGGUGGCGAAGGCGGUUCUCUGGGAAUGUCCUGACGCUGAGGAGCGAAAGUGUGGGGAGCGAACAGG